GGAUGGAAAUGAGGACUUAGUCUGUUAUACAACUGACUGUGCUGUUUAGGGAGCUGUGGUUUCCCUUUGGCCUCAAGUCCUUCCCUCUCCCCGGGUUUUUCUUCCUUACGAACUGUGAUAUAGGCAUGAGUGGGGAUCAGCUGCAUAACGACUCCCAGAUUGAUCCAGAUUUCCGAGCGAAUGAGUUCUGGCUUGACUUGAAGCAAACAUGUCCAUGCAAGACCAUGCAAAAAUAUCAACAAGUUGAAGCAGUUCUGUAAAGGCAAAUGUGCAGAAAAUCUCCAAGCCAAUGUGUG
Non-coding RNA from Python bivittatus (Burmese python), 296 nucleotides. Lineage: Eukaryota; Metazoa; Chordata; Lepidosauria; Squamata; Pythonidae. The record is from RefSeq and is a predicted model, not a curated record.